Molecule: ribosomal RNA, 505 nt
Filed under: uncultured bacterium
Lineage: Bacteria
Description: bacterial SSU rRNA
Rfam family: Bacterial small subunit ribosomal RNA
Source: RNAcentral
AGUCGAGGGGCAGCGCGGGAUAGCAAUAUCCUGGCGGCGACCGGCGGAAGGGUGCGUAACGCGUGAGCGACAUGCCCGUUGCCCGGGGACAACCGGUGGAAACGCCGACUAAUCCCCGAUGGGAUACGAUGCUUCAUGGCAUUGUAUUGAAAGUUACGGCGGCGACGGAUUGGCUCGCGUCCGAUUAGCUUGUUGGCGGGGUAACGGCCCACCAAGGCUACGAUCGGUAGGGGUUCUGAGAGGAAGGCCCCCCACAAUGGGACUGAGACACGGCCCAUACUCCUACGGGAGGCAGCAGUGAGGAAUAUUGGUCAAUGGGCGGAAGCCUGAACCAGCCAUGCCGCGUGCGGGAAGGAGGCCCUAUGGGCUGUGAACCGCUUUUGCCUGGGGGCAAUAAGGGCGUCGCGCACGCCCGAUGAGAGUACCAGGCGAAUAAGCAUCGGCUAACUCCGUGCCAGCAGCCGCGGUAAUACGGGGGAUGCGAGCGUUAUCCGGAUUCAUUGGG